AUCAGGAAACACACCUGGCUCGCUAAGACUGCUGGGAUUGAGUCGUGUAUCUGGCCGUCUGCAUGGGUGUGUGUCUGUAUCUGCCUGCAUUUGUGCGUGUGUGUGUUCGCAGGCUGCCAGUGUCAUCGACAUUUCGCACACAUUAACAGGUGGGACUUGGCAUGAAUGUGAGCCGUUAGCGGCAAGAACAACAUCGACUCCGACGACGAGAACACGGUAGUCGCGGGCAGCUUCCCUCUCAGCGUGUUGUAGUUGUGGAGCAAGGCUCACCGGGUAUCUCAAAGGCGGUUGUCGCUUUUUCGAGUCGUUGGCUGCUGUACUUGGGCGCUUUACGCAGGUGUGACACAACACGUAUAUCAGCUACCGUCGAGUACCACAUCCGCCAUGCCAUCUUUCACGUGAAGAGCACUGCCAAGUGUGACAACAACCUGACAGUGAUAGGGAGGAGUGAGUGAGGAGGAAGAGAGAGGGAGGAGCCAAAGCGAGGGAGGGAGAUGGAAAAUAUUUGUGGCAAGUUAACUGCACCCUUGCUGGUAUCUUACAGCAAGCACGAAGAUGUCAUAAAAUGACGGAGAUGGCUGUCAAGUGCGCGCGUGGAGCUUGUCGCUUUGACAUUGCUAGAGAAUGACAUAACCAGUAAAAGUAGAUGACACAUU
This 656-nucleotide long non-coding RNA is filed under the name Pomacea canaliculata. RNAcentral describes it as "uncharacterized LOC112575893, transcript variant X1". Lineage: Eukaryota; Metazoa; Mollusca; Gastropoda; Architaenioglossa; Ampullariidae. The record is from RNAcentral.